This 330-nucleotide long non-coding RNA is filed under the name Triticum aestivum (bread wheat). RNAcentral's name for it is "long non-coding RNA (TAES_LNC010933)". Lineage: Eukaryota; Viridiplantae; Streptophyta; Magnoliopsida; Poales; Poaceae. The record is from RNAcentral.
CAUCUUUUAUGACCCAUUCCAUUCAUCACAGUUUCACAACAUCUGCACCAUAGUUGUUUUAUGGCAACUUGACAGCUAUACCAUAUUUGUUGAACAAUCCCUAAAUCAGCCUGGAUGAAUGGUAAUAAAGCUUCUCCACAUUCUCUCUUGCUUCGUUUAUUUCAACACAGUACAUAACAUCAACUUUGCAUCAUAUAGCAACUCAAUAGGGCCAGCAGAUUAAACUGUAAUUCGAGAAUAAAUGUUCAAGACAACAACACCACCAUGUUCCCACGCACACACAGAAAAGUACAACACCAACUGGGUAGAGUUCAACAGAUCUAAACUCAU